UUCCUCAUGGUCCACUGGUUAAGACUCUGCCCUCCCAAUGCAGGGGGCCCAGGUUCAAUCCCUGGUCAGGGAA
This 73-nucleotide transfer RNA is filed under the name Ovis aries (sheep). It matches the Rfam family "tRNA". Rfam says of the family: Transfer RNA (tRNA) molecules are approximately 80 nucleotides in length. Their secondary structure includes four short double-helical elements and three loops (D, anti-codon, and T loops). Further hydrogen bonds mediate the characteristic L-shaped molecular structure. tRNAs have two regions of fundamental functional importance: the anti-codon, which is responsible for specific mRNA codon recognition, and the 3' end, to which the tRNAs corresponding amino acid is attached (by aminoacyl-tRNA synthetases). tRNAs cope with the degeneracy of the genetic code in two manners: having more than one tRNA (with a specific anti-codon) for a particular amino acid; and 'wobble' base-pairing, i.e. permitting non-standard base-pairing at the 3rd anti-codon position. The record is from Rfam by way of RNAcentral. Lineage: Eukaryota; Metazoa; Chordata; Mammalia; Artiodactyla; Bovidae.